GAUUAACGCUAGCGGCAGGCCUAAUACAUGCAAGUCGAACGGCAGCACGGGUAGCAAUACCUGGUGGCGAGUGGCGCACGGGUGCGUAACGCGUAUGCAAUCUACCUAUAACUGGGGAAUAGCCCUCCGAAAGGAAGAUUAAAACCGCAUAAUAUCACGAGACGGCAUCGUUUUGUGAUCAAAUCUCCGGAGGUUAUAGAUGAGCAUGCGUGACAUAGCUAGUUGGUGAGGUAACGGCUCACCAAGGCUACGAUGUCUAGGGGGUCUGAGAGGAUGAUCCCCCACACUGGUACUGAGACACGGACCAGACUCCUACGGGAGGCAGCAGUAAGGAAUAUUGGACAAUGGCCGCAAGGCUGAUCCA
This 364-nucleotide ribosomal RNA is filed under the name uncultured bacterium. RNAcentral's name for it is "bacterial SSU rRNA". It matches the Rfam family "Bacterial small subunit ribosomal RNA", at positions 28 to 390 of the family's 1533-position model. The record is from RNAcentral.